GAUGAACGCUGGCGGCGUGCCUAAUACAUGCAAGUCGAGCGAACAGACGAUGAGCUUGCUCCUCGGACGUUAGCGGCGGACGGGUGAGUAACACGUGGAUAACCUACCUAUAAUACUGGGAUAACUUCGGGAAACCGGAGCUAAUACCGGAUAAGAUAUUGAACCGCAUGGUUGAAUAGAGAAAGACGGUGUUGGUGGCAGGUAUAGAGGGAUCCGCGCCGCAUUAGAUGGUUGGUAAGUUAACGGGUUACCAAGGCAACGAUGCGUAGCCGAGGUGAGAGGGUGAUCGGCCACACUGGAGCUGAGACACGGUCCAGACUACUACGAGACGCAGCAGUCGGGAAUCUUACGCAAUGGGCGAGAGCCUGACGGAGCAACGCGGCGCGAGUUAUGAAGGUCUUCGGAGCGUAAAAAUCUGUUAUUAGGGAAGAACAAAUGUGUCAGUAACUAUGCACGUCUUGACGGUACCUAAUCAGAAAGCAACGGCUAACUACGUG
This 497-nucleotide ribosomal RNA is filed under the name uncultured bacterium. RNAcentral describes it as "partial 16S ribosomal RNA". It matches the Rfam family "Bacterial small subunit ribosomal RNA", at positions 28 to 507 of the family's 1533-position model. The record is from RNAcentral.